AAUCGGAGAGUUAGCUCUUUGAGGCCGGCUGCCCUUAAAUCCUCUCACUUCACACAUAAGGAAACUGAGGCCGUGACGGCCAAGGACUCGCCUAAGGUCGUUCCGUAUUCCACCUGCUCCUCUCUCCCGAAGCGGGGGCACUCUUCCCUGACCCCAGGGACGACUCUGAAGCCAGUUCUGGAGGAGGGCCCCCAAUUAGAAAAAUGCCAGGGAGGAAUAGCAACCCUGACCACUUAACACACUGUGAUUGGGGCAACAAAAAUCUUCACCUGAGACCCAACUCCGCUGUUCUGCUUCCUCGGUGGAAGCCACACGAACCCCACUGGUACAGCGGCAGCGAUAGACCCCAGGCGGCUGAAAGCUUAUUUGGAGCGUCCCGGAGCAUGUCGAUUGUGCUGUGCCAGUGCAGGGGGAGUACCCCUCAGUUCUGGCCCCAGGCUCCAUUCUUUGCUAACCGGUCCAAGAAGUGGGGGGGCAGUCAGUGCCAGUGGGUUUAGAACUCCUCAGCCGCGGCUUCAACAUCACACACAACCAGAAAGCAAACCUUCAUGAGGCUGAGAGGCAGGCCGCCCUGCCAAUACAUUCCAUCACAUGGCACCCUCGGAGCGUUCCUAUUUUAGGGACUGGUUGGAAGACAGCUAGAAACAUAGAAAGCAGGCAAAAUGUUUGCUGGCUUUACUCCUUUCCUUUGAGGGCAUCGUCAUGCAUCCUAGGGGGGAAAAAUCUGCACAGAUCCUGGAAAUCAAGAACUUCGUGAACCAGAGGAAGGGGGCUGUUUGCCAGUACUAGUCUACAGAGGCCUCUGAUCUUUUCACAUUUAAUGCCCCAGCAUCUAGAGCUGAGCAUGCAGAAGUCGCCACACACACAAAUGUCCAGGUAGGUACCACUGAUUUUGCUUAUGAUGAAGCUGGAGCAAAGGCGGAUUAGAACGGAACAGCCCAGUUCUUCUCCAUGGGAUGAGUGCCCCUUUGCUGGGAGGGCCAGAUCUGUGCUGGCUCCAACAUUGCUUCCUUUAAGGUGUCUGCCACUUGCCACCAGUAUGGUUGGGCCUGGCCCAUUCUGCACAACUAGAGAAAAUGGAAAAUUCAAAGGCAAUAUAAUAUAUAGGCGGCAGUGGAACAGGGACUCUCAACAGUAUACAGACAGUCCCUGACUUGUGAUGGUUUGACACAGGACUUUCCAAGUUUGCAAUGGUUGUAAAAGUGAUAAUCUAGCAUGCGCUCAAUUUAGGAUGGGAUUAUGGCUGGUGAAACCCGUCCUAAGUGGAGCUGCAUCUAUACAUGAUUGUGACCUGAGUUAAUGCUUUUGGGCAAGUUCUUAUUUUGUGUGGGGUCAGCACCGUGGUGCACAGUGCUCCAUCCAGCUGUCCCUUCCUGCUCUCCUCAGGUGGCCAUGCACUCAUACAGCCCUGGAGUUUCUGCUGAAGGCUGAGGUUUAAUUUUUUACACUCUUCUUUGUCACUGGCCAACUCUAUACCAGUAAGUAGGCACCUCUCUGAAAGGCAGUGUUCUUAAGACACUGUUCGCUUCAGGGGUGAGGAAGCAGAAGGUAAGAGUAGAGUGAACACAGAUUUGAAUGCCAGCCUCUCCAUUGCCCCCAAUACUCCAUCUGCUCCAGAGCUUAGUGGAGAUGUUUGCUAUUUAAAACAAACAGCCUUACUGGCUUCACAUGAUCAUCUGUUUAUUUGGGUCAUGUGGGGACAGCAGCCAGGGGAUGUUAGACAAAAACAAGGGUUUAGAAGGGAGGCUGCAGGCCAGGAGCGGUGGCUCACGCCUGUAAUCCCAGCACUUUGGGAGGCCGAGGUGCAUGGAUCACUUGAGGUCCGGAGUUCGAGACAAUCCUGGCCAACGUGGUGUGGUGAAACCCUGUCUCUACUAAAAAAAAAAAAAAAAAAAGGAAGAAAAAAGAAAAUUAGCUGGGCGUGGUGGCAGGCGCCUGUAAUCCCAGCUACUGGGGGUGGUUAAGGCAGGAGAGUCACUUGAACCCGGGAGGUGGAGGUUGCAGUGAGCUGAGAUGACACCACUGCACUCCAGCCUGGGCCACAGAGAGAGACUCCGUCUCCAAAAAAAAAAAAAAAAAAAAAAAAAAAGGGUGGGGGAGGCUGUUUCUGGACCUAUUGUUGCCUACAGGAGCCUGAAAAUGGCCAAAAACAAUACCUCAUCAACCAAGCUUUCCCCAGUUGAGGAAUGGACAGUGGGGGUGGGAGAUACCUAUAAAUGGCGAUGUGAGGGCAUGAAAGAAGAGGGGAAUGAAUAGGAGGGCUGUUUAAUAUUUUAGCCCCAGCUUCCUGUUCCAAGGGGGUGGAGCCAGGAUAGAAGCUGGCAAAUGUACUCACUCAAGAGAAAGAGAAAUAAGUCCUUUUGGUUUCAGCAGAAAGGUUAGCAGGUUUGGGGAAUUAUCCAAAGGCCAGCAAUCUCUAAAAAGGUGUUCCUUAAGUUUCUUUUUCUUUUUUUCUUUUUUGAGAUAGAGUCUCCCUCUGUUGCCCAGGCUGGAGUGCAGUGGUGUGAUCUUGGCUCACUGCAACUUCUGCCUCCCAGGUUCAAGUGAUUCUCCUGCCUCAGCCUCCGGAGUAGCUGGGAUUACAAGCACGCACCACCACGCCCGGCUAAUUUUUGUAUUUUUAGUAGAGACGGGGUUUCACCAUGUUGGCCAGGCUGGUCUCAAACUCCUGACCUCAAGUGAUCUGCCUGUCUUGGCCUCCCAAAGGGCUGGGAUGACAGGCGUGAGCCACCGCGCCCGGCUGUUCCUUAAGUUUCUUCAUGGCUUCUGGGUGCUUAGUACCUUGGAGCAGGAGAAAAGCUGGGCUGUCCAUCAUUGUGAGUUUCUCACGAGAGGGUUUCCGUUUUCAGUCUUCCUCCCCGAGUCUUGUGCACCCCACCUCCCAGUUCAAAUUCCAUUAUGUCCUCCAAUUUUUUAAUCUUUUAUUCUUUUUUUCACCAACCACAAUAAGAAGCACCAAUUCCCCAAUUUUUUAAUAUGCUGAGCCAGAGACAUCCCCUUAGUGGAACUGUCUUCCUAUCCCCCACCACUCACCUAACAAAGUAUCAACUCCAAGAGCUAUGAAAAUCAGUGCCCUGACUCCUACAAAGCCUGAGUCAUGAGAUGGGGGAAAGGGCGUGAAGCCGAAAGUACAGAUGUUCACAGGAAAUCCCAACCCUUCAAGCCUGAUGUCUCAUCUUUUGCAAGCAGCUAAGGAGCUUUUCACAUACCAUCAUUAAAACAAGACCCAUGGGAGGAAGCUGGCUGCAGGAUGAAGAGGAAAAAACAGAAGACUAGUACACUCAAGACAUACCAGAGAAGAUCCAUUUCAUAAAUAUUUAUUGUGUGCCUGAGGUGCCAAGCACUAGGCUAGGUAUGCUGUGGCCAAGGCCAGGGGACCUCUGGUAAGCCAGAGCGGGGCAAAAGCAAACAGAGCGGAACUCCACUCCACUGUGAUAACUUGCAAAAGAUUAGUUCUGCUGUUCGCCACCGUGCUGGAUGCAGCACCAGAGACAGGACGACACGAGGACCCAGAGGGCGCCGCCAUGCUCAUUUCAGAAGGUGCAGCCUCCGUGUCCGUGGGUCCGCACCCAUGGAGGCAACUAACCGUGGAUCAAAAAUAUUCAGGAAAAAAAAAUGGAAAAUAUACAAGAAAAAAUAAUACAAAUUUAAAAACCAACACAGCACAAGAACUAUUUACACAGCAUUUACAUGGUAUGAGGUAUUUGAGUAGCGCAGAGAUGAGUUAAAGGAUACCUGAGGAUGUGCAUAGGUUACAUGUAAGGGAUUUGAGCAUCAUCCAUGGACAGGUAUUCAGGGAGGCUCCAGGAACCAAUCCCCAUUGGACAGUGAGAAGCAACUGUAAUUCCGUUUUUCUAUGUAGAGAUAAAAACAAAUUCAGUGGAUUUAAGGCUGGGCCAGUCAACUGAGCCUGAUUCCCCCAGUCUGAAUGAUGAGUGGGACUCUGAAUUCCUUUGACAGAGGUGGACCCAUUCAAUCAUCAGUGAAAUGGGGUCCCCACAGCCAAAAGUUUCCACAGGACUCUUUACCUCCUUUCCCCACCCCAAGUGAGUUGUCAGAGGACCUCUCCUGAACUCACAGAACAGGUCCAAUCAAGUUCCACCUCCCCAUUCAUGUCCUUUCCAGAAGCUGGGCGCGGUGGCUCACGCCCUAAGUUCCAGCUACGUGGGAGGCUGAGACAGGAGAAUCGCCUGAGCCCAGGAUUUCAAGGCCAGCCUGGGCAACAUAGCAAGAUACUGUCUCAAAAAAAAAAAAAAAAAAAUUGCAGCCUCACAUGAUGUCAUAGCUGGAAGAGCUGGGAUCAUGGGGUCUGACCUCCCAAGAGAAGGUGUAUCCAAGGUCACAAAGCUGCCAAGCAUCAGCUAGGUUGAGAAGUGGCCUGGUCCUCCUCUUUGGCUGGCUGGGCCAGGCCUGGGGAAGUGCUAUCAGUGUGGGGUGUUGAGUCCCUGAAAGCCUCCCAGAAGUGGGUGAAGAUGGAGAGGGAACUCCACCCCUCCUCGUUAAAGACAGGAAUAAUCAUUCACUUUGCUUAGUGGUCCCCAAUAAACAAGCUUAGCAGAUAAGCGGGAAGACAGGGAAAGGGAAUCAGACUUGGGAUCCAGGAGCUCGCAGGACCCUGUUCUGCCCCAGGCCACUCAGGAAUGGAGAGCUGCUAGCUGGACCUGGGUAGGUCACCAUUACUCACUGGGGCUUUUGUCUGGCAUGAAAGGUGACGGGAGAAAGGGGCAGAUUUUUAUCCAGGCAGCCACCGUGGGUGUGGACACUGAGUAAUAAGGAAAGAAAUGCAGUUCAGAAGCAAAGAGGGAGGAGCCAGGUCCUCUGAGCUCUUCUGAGAAACCAGAGCCCAGUCGAGCUCUGCAGCUAGAGUGGCAGCUGCGGAUGACAGUGGGUCAGAAGCUUGGUGGGAGGAGGCUGACCCAGCGGAAAGGCACAGGAGACGGAUGACGAUGUCAGGGAUUCCUUUAAAGGAAAAAAGAGGUGGCUUUAUGACAGCAAAACUAAUUCAGGUCAAGGGAGUGGGACUGGGCAGAAGUUAUGAGUAAAGCCGGGUGGAGUCUUGCCAUGGGAGUCAAGAGUCCGCUGGAUCACGCAGGGGUGGGGACAUGGUGAUAGGGAAGAAACCUCCCAGGACCGACGGGCUGCAAUGUGAUCAGUGCCCCACACAAAGGACUAAGGUCUAUAUCCCAGCAGCCCCAGUUCACACCCAAAUGCAAGGCUGUAGCAUCAAGUCUUGAAAGCCCAAGAGAUCAGCAGCCUAUGCCAGGAAUGAGGCUCUCUCUGGAGGCAAGGCCGAGAGCAGUGGCCGGUCACUGGCUGCACAGCCCAGAGCAGAUACCACAGAGCCAGGGCUCAGCUCCAGGUGCACUAUGAGAUCUCUCCCCAAGGCCCCAGGGCCCACUGGGAAAGGACACACCACUGCUGCCCAGCCUGCUCCACUCCCUGUGCCAUCAGGGACACCUCAGUGGGGAGUGCUAGAGCUUCCCAGCGCCCUCUCUGAUGAGUUAGUCUGAAAUAAUGCUGAACCACUGGUAAAAGACAGGUCCUUAAACUUCACACCAUACAGCAAUGUAAAUUCAAAUGCUAAAUGUAAAAAAUAAAACUAAAAUAGCCAUAAUAAAAUAUAGGAAAACAUUUUUCAGCUCUAGGGUGGUGAAGGAGUUUCUACCCAUAAAGGCAAACAAAGAAAAUAUAAAAGCACAGUGUGAUAGAUUUGAUUACCUCUAAAAGCUAUAAAAAUAAAACAAAAUCAUCACUAAAGAAAAGAAAAAGGGGCCGGGCACAG
This 5782-nucleotide long non-coding RNA is filed under the name Homo sapiens (human). RNAcentral describes it as "non-protein coding lnc-SGSM2-2:3". The record is from RNAcentral. Lineage: Eukaryota; Metazoa; Chordata; Mammalia; Primates; Hominidae.